Molecule: unclassified non-coding RNA, 205 nt
Filed under: plant metagenome
Description: partial contains small subunit ribosomal RNA, internal transcribed spacer 1, and 5.8S ribosomal RNA
Source: RNAcentral
UCUCCGUAGGUGAACCUGCGGAGGGAUCAUUACUGAGUGAGGGCCUCUGGCCCGACCUCCAACCCUUUGAUGUCCGACUCUGUUGCCUCGGGGGCGACCCGGCCUUCGGGCCCGGGGCCCCCCGUGGUCCACUCAACUCUGCAUCUUUGCGUCUGAGUAAACAUUAAAUGAAACAAAACUUUCAACAACGGAUCCCUUGGUUCUG